ACGGGGAGCAGCAGGCGCGAAACCUUUACACUGCACGAGAGUGCGAUAAGGGGACUCCAAGUGCGAGGGCAUAUAGUCCUCGCUUUUUCCGACCGUAGGAUGGUCGGCGAAUAAGUGCUGGGCAAGACCGGUGCCAGCCGCCGCGGUAAUACCGGCAGCACAAGUGAUGACCGCUAUUAUUGGGCCUAAAGCGUCCGUAGCUGGCCACGCAAGUCCAUCGGGAAAUCUCUCCGCUUAACGGAGAGGCGUCCGGUGGAAACUGCAUGGCUUGGGACCGGAAGAUCCAGAGGGUACGUCUGGGGUAGGAGUGAAAUCCUGUAAUCCGAGACGGACCACCGGUGSYGAAAGCGCUCUGGAAAGACGGAUCCGACGGUGAGGGACGAAAGCUCGGGUCACGAACCGGAUUAGAUACCCGGGUAGUCCGAGCUGUAAACGAUGUCUGCUAGGUGUGGCACAGGCUACGAGCCUGUGCUGUGCCGUAGGGAAGCCGUGAAGCAGACCGCCUGGGAAGUACGUCUGCAAGGAUGAAACUUAAAGGAAUUGGCGGGGGAGCAC
Molecule: ribosomal RNA, 555 nt
Filed under: uncultured Halobacterium sp.
Lineage: Archaea; Methanobacteriati; Methanobacteriota; Halobacteria; Halobacteriales; Halobacteriaceae
Description: bacterial SSU rRNA
Rfam family: Archaeal small subunit ribosomal RNA
Source: RNAcentral